AUGUCACUGAAGCUUUGGCGCUUAGAUAACUCAGAUAACUUGGAGGCCAUCGAAACCAUGAAUAAUAGAGGACGGUUGGCAAGUAUAGCGGCAGCAGUAUUUGACGAUUGUUAUUUUUUGGCUUGUGAUUUUGCCAUCACUAGAUUCGAGCACUAUAAUAGGGAAGUCAAUAGGGUUGCACAUGAACUUGCUAAAGUAGCUAAAUUUUCUACAACUUUAAACUGGUUUGAGGAGCCUUUGAGCGAAAUUGUACCUCUCCUCAUAAACGAUGUACUUGUUAUUACAAAUGAAUAA
RNAcentral lists this ribosomal RNA (294 nucleotides) under Triticum aestivum (bread wheat). RNAcentral describes it as "partial small subunit ribosomal RNA". The record is from RNAcentral. Lineage: Eukaryota; Viridiplantae; Streptophyta; Magnoliopsida; Poales; Poaceae.